CCUACGGGUGGCAGCAGUGAGGAAUAUUGGUCAAUGGGCGGAAGCCUGAACCAGCCAAGUAGCGUGCAGGAUGACGGCCCUACGGGUUGUAAACUGCUUUUAUACGGGAAUAACGCGCCUUACGUGUAGGGCUUUGCAUGUACCGUAUGAAUAAGGACCGGCUAAUUCCGUGCCAGCAGCCGCGGUAAUACGGAGGGUGCGGGCGUUAUCCGGAAUUAUUGGGUGUAAAGGGAGCGGAGGCGGCAUGUAAAGCGUGCUGUGAAAUGUCCGGGCUCAACCCGGGCCUUGCAGCGCGAACGGGCGUGCUUGAGUCCGCGGAAAGCAGGCGGAAUUCGUGGUGUAGCGGUGAAAUGCUUAGAUAUGACGAAGAACCCCGAUGGCGAAGGCAGCUUGCUGCAGCGGAACUGACGCUGAUGCUCGAAGGCGCGGGUAUCGAACAGGAUUAGAUACCCGGGUAGUC
This 460-nucleotide ribosomal RNA is filed under the name uncultured bacterium. Its description in RNAcentral is "partial 16S ribosomal RNA". It matches the Rfam family "Bacterial small subunit ribosomal RNA", at positions 338 to 795 of the family's 1533-position model. The record is from RNAcentral.